Molecule: long non-coding RNA, 1050 nt
Organism: Xyrauchen texanus (razorback sucker)
Lineage: Eukaryota; Metazoa; Chordata; Actinopteri; Cypriniformes; Catostomidae
Exons: 4
Source: RefSeq, a predicted model, not a curated record
CUGUGAGAUGCGCUAUGGCUCUGCUGUGAUCUUUGUUUGGAUUCAUCGGAUCUAUUUUCGCUGCUAAAAUAGACCAAAACAGUCAUUAUUUCGUCUAAAAUAUCAAAUGUUCCUUUCUUCUGUCAUGGAGCAAGUAUCAGCUGUUGAAACAAAAGCUCUCCUCAGUUGCCCAGCUUGUGCUGCAAACUCCUCCAACCUCCUAUUCCAUGUCUCACUACCUCCACUAGGUCGCCGGUACCCCUAAACCUCAGUUUUGUGAAACCACCAUCAACCAGCCAGUGCCCCAAUACUACAACUAGGCCCUCUGUACCACCUCCACCAUCAACCAGCCAGUACCCGAUUACUACCACUAGGCCCCCUGUACCACCUCCACCAUCAACCAGCCAGUACCCGAUUACUACCACUAGGCCCCCUGUACUACUUACCUCCACUGUCAAGGACCCACUGCCUGCCACUCUGCAACCUGGUGCAGUGUGUGGAAACCCUUCAGCUGUGUGGAAACCCUUCAGCAUCCAUUCAACCUUCAUCCCCCUCCUUCCAGUCAGACAGGCAUGAAUCUCAAGGUAUUAUAUCAAAUACUGUAAGGAAGAUAAAUGUCAAUACUGUGGUUAAAUUACAUUUUCUUUGUUUUGUAGUGUUAAUCUAUUUCUCUCCUUAUCCCCUCCAUUUUACAGAAAUAACACAUCAAAUGACACUAUUUCUACUGGACCUUACAAAAACUCACCAGCAACUUUAUUUUAGGAACAAAAUGGCGUUCUAUAAAAAAAUACAAAACUCAUUCUCACAAAAGGGCUACAACUUGUCAAGUGAAAAAAUUUGAAAAAAACUAGCAAAAAUGUUAACCACUUAUAAGAGAGUAAAAGACAGGCGCCGUGCAACUGGGGAGGGGAAGAUCACCUGGGAGUACUAUACACUAAUGGAUGAGUUAUUUGGGUCGUCGGGGAUCGGUACUGCACCACUUGGCACCAUUCACUCCACACCUCUAGGUUUGGAAGAGACCUCCACCCAAAGCAUGCCCACAACGUCUUCUCUUCAAGACCAGCCAGCAGG